Molecule: RNA transcript, 2246 nt
Organism: Lytechinus pictus (painted urchin)
Lineage: Eukaryota; Metazoa; Echinodermata; Echinoidea; Temnopleuroida; Toxopneustidae
Exons: 2
Source: RefSeq, a predicted model, not a curated record
UUCACACUUUGCUUUCCAUACUUCUCUUCACUACCAUUUCUAUGCCUCUGUCACACACCUGUUUCUCUCAUUCCUUAGUUUCUUCAUCAGAUCAUUCCAUUGCCAUUCCAACUCCACACAGCUUCACAUGUUUCUAUUGUUAUUUUCUCAUUUACAUUCAGAACAUUCUUCUUCAUUCAUAUCAUCUUACCUCAUCCUCAUUGGUUCACCUUUCACCCUUGGUUCCUCCACUUUUCUGGGUUCUCCCAUUCUCUGUUUCUCUAUUGGUUGAAUUUAUCAUGUGACAUUAUUUUUGAAUAUAUUUGAAUGUAUUAUUUGUGAAGGCAAUGCCUAGUGAGGUCUGCAUUGCAGACCAAUAAAUCAGAGCACUACUAGACUUCAUUUUGGUCAACAUCUUUAUUUUUGAGUUUAGUUCAAUAUAAUAUGAGUUUGCUUGUUUCUGACUGAUUUGUGAGGUAGACAUGUUAGAACACUCGGCCACACUACAAUAACAUGUCAGUAAAAUCGGCUAUCUCAAUCUACUUGGAUGUGUGCCACUUUAAGAGGAGAACAGCUGGUUGAGCCUGAUCCAAGCCUCCAUUACCAAUGCAUUCCUCAGGGACAUCUCCUGCUGCUCCUUCUCCUCCUCCUCCUACAUAGCCAUCCUCCGCAUCUACAUCAGCCAUUACUACAUCAUCAUCUCCGUGACCAUCACCAAGGCCAUUCCCAGCAUCCAUCCCACCCUUACUACCCUCCUUUGCGACGAUGCUACCGAAACCAUCCUCCUCCACAAUACCACCGCCUCCAUCGGCAUCCCUGGUGUCUCCAGAAGUCUUCUCCAUCUCACCACCGGUCUCUACCUUGCCAGUGGUGCCCUCCGAGUACACCUUCUCAUUGCUGUUCACCUCGUACUGGUGCGAGAAGGGAUCGCCUGAGAGGAUACCAGUCUCUACUGGGUUAUCCAUCUUCUAGAAUAAUGUCUGUCUGAUGUCAGCUUGGUAUCGUCAGGUGAUGGAUGAAGCACAGGAUGGAACAGAGAGGGUUCGGUGAAAAAAAAGACGCUUCAAUCGAGCUGAACGUACUUCUGUGAAAGCAAUCAGUGCACAGGGGUGUAACAAUUAGCCAUGGAAGAAAGAUUAGCGAGUGGCUAUACCAUUAUGGUCUGUACAGUUUAGAGAAAUGUGCUAUACAGGAUUAACGUUUGUGAUAGACUUGGGUGUUAACUAUUAGAGUCUACUCUUUGUAUUUUUAACAACAAUAAUCAAUUAAUCAUUUUCAAAAUAUCACAAAUAGAGAUAAAAUAGAGUCAUGUUCUUGUUAUUAAAAGUACCACUACGUAUACCCAUUUCAAAUACAUUUAAUUGUUAACACUGGGCCCUUUAAAAACUAAGAGGAAAACAAAUUAUGCUUUAACAAAAUAGAAUUUUGAUAGUUAUGUCAAGAAGUAAAGACAAUAUUGUAGCAUGAUUUUUUUUUAUAAAGUCAUUAUGUAGGCCUUAUGUUUAUUUGUAUUAUAUUGAGAAUUUCAAUUGCUCUUUGUUCUAACUCAUACAACUUCAUAUUAUUUUCCUUCUGUUGUAAACUGAAACAUCAUUUUAUCAUAUGUCGAGCUUUAUUCUAUGUAACAAAUAUUACAAAAAUAUUUAUGAUUUAAAAAUUUCCUAAGUAUGGUCCUCCAUAUGCACCUUCCAUUCCAUAUACUUUCGGACACACUUCUGUUUCUCUCAAUGAAUCUCAAUCAAUAUAUCAAUGUUUUUAAGACUUGUGCAAUAGUGUAUACAUAAGACAAUGUAUGAUGGGUAACAAAAAUAAACACAAUAGACCUCAUAAGGGGGAACUUUUUCUACUUCAUGAAAGUUCAAGUUAUUCAAGGUUGACUGUGCAACAGAGCUUCUUUUUUAUUUCUGUCAUAGUGUUACUAUGAUACGAACCCUUCUAAUUGGAUUAGACACCUAACCAUGUAGGCAUACUACAGCAUUGUGUUGUGGGAUUAUGGUGCUACAUUAAUCACAGAUAUUCAAAGAUCGUAGAGGCUGUUCACACCGCAAGGGGGGACCGUGGGCGGACCGUGGAUCGCGCUAUCGUAGCGCGAUCCACGGUCCGCCCAUUGGCAUUCGCCGGAUUCACACCGCAGUGAGAUAGCGCGGUCUAUCGUAGCACCCCCUUUUUUGAGAGGUCCUGUUGCCAUGACGCAUUACUUACUAUAUUUCUAUUUUCACGAUGUUCCGACGCGUUUUACUCCAUAAAAUUAGGAGUGUUGAGUUGUA